Molecule: ribosomal RNA, 514 nt
Filed under: uncultured Chloroflexota bacterium
Lineage: Bacteria; Bacillati; Chloroflexota
Description: bacterial SSU rRNA
Rfam family: Bacterial small subunit ribosomal RNA
Source: RNAcentral
CCACAAUGGGCGCAAGCCUGAUGGAGCACGCCGCGUGGGGGAUGACGCUUUCGGAGUGUAAACCCCUUUCGAGAGGACGAAGCCAAUGACGGUACUCUCGGAAUAAGGACCGGCUAACUACGUGCCAGCAGCCGCGGUAAGACGUAGGGUCCGAGCGUUGUCCGGAGUUACUGGGCGUAAAGCGCGCGCAGGCGGUUUCGUACGUCGGGUGUGAAAGCCCCCCGCUCAACGGGGGAGGGUCAUUCGAAACGGCGGAACUGGAGGCAGGGAGAGGUCGGUGGAAUUCCCGGUGUAGUGGUGAAAUGCGUAGAUAUCGGGAGGAACACCAGUGGCGAAGGCGGCCGACUGGACCUGUACUGACGCUGAGGCGCGAAGGCGUGGGGAGCGAACGGGAUUAGAUACCCCGGUAGUCCACGCAGUAAACGAUGUGCACUAGGUGUGGGGGGUAUAGACCCCCUCCGUGCCGGCGCUAACGCAGUAAGUGCACCGCCUGGGGAGUACGGCCGCAAGGCUA